Molecule: long non-coding RNA, 671 nt
Filed under: Sus scrofa (pig)
Lineage: Eukaryota; Metazoa; Chordata; Mammalia; Artiodactyla; Suidae
Description: lncRNA (ENSSSCG00070010782.1)
Source: RNAcentral
AUGCUGGAUGAGGAGGACACUGACAAAGACGGGAUGAGUUUGGAGGUCGACACUCCAGUGACGAACCAUCGGGGUGACGACGACGAUGACGAAGAAGAUCUCCCCGAGAUAGUGCUGGAUGACGUGCCUGCGGUGAGGGUGGCGGGACGGCCUCCAUUCGCUCCGCGGGUGGCCUUCAUGGUGAACAAAACACAUGACCCCGAGUACCCGAGGCGGAAGGUGUCCGGCAUCAGUGCUCAGAAAGUUGUUCCACCUUCCACCAAGGUAAGGGCUUUUCACUUCUCUGAGGAAAAAGAAAAAGCAAAAAAAAAAAAACAAAAUAUAUAUAUAUGGCUUCAUUCCCUAGCUUUUCAAUCAAAUUCAACUCUGAAAGUCCAAAUCCGUGGAUACUUAGGGUUUUCCUGGGUUGGGUGACUGUUGACUGAUUGUCUGUCCCAGUGAAUGACUGAUUUAAAAAAGGACCUUUAAAAGCGGACAGCAGUAGUUUUGUAUGUGUAAGUGUGGUCGGGAGCAUGGUUAGUAGCAGAGACUCGCCCUCCUUGAAGGAGACUUUGGCAGCUGUGGGUCAGAGUGCACGUAAGAGUUUUUCCAGGAAAAUUCGAAGGCUUUCUCCAAGAUGACCUCUGUGUUUUUCCUUUGGGACCUGGGACUAAAGGAAUUUUACAUUUGGG